RNAcentral lists this transfer RNA (88 nucleotides) under Candidatus Bathyarchaeota archaeon. RNAcentral's name for it is "tRNA-Leu". It matches the Rfam family "tRNA". Rfam says of the family: Transfer RNA (tRNA) molecules are approximately 80 nucleotides in length. Their secondary structure includes four short double-helical elements and three loops (D, anti-codon, and T loops). Further hydrogen bonds mediate the characteristic L-shaped molecular structure. tRNAs have two regions of fundamental functional importance: the anti-codon, which is responsible for specific mRNA codon recognition, and the 3' end, to which the tRNAs corresponding amino acid is attached (by aminoacyl-tRNA synthetases). tRNAs cope with the degeneracy of the genetic code in two manners: having more than one tRNA (with a specific anti-codon) for a particular amino acid; and 'wobble' base-pairing, i.e. permitting non-standard base-pairing at the 3rd anti-codon position. Lineage: Archaea; Thermoproteati; Candidatus Bathyarchaeota. The record is from RNAcentral.
GCGGGGGUGGCAGAGCUUGGUCAAAUGCGCGGGACUCAAGAUCCCGUCCCUUAGGGGUUCGUGGGUUCAAAUCCCACCCCCCGCACCA